RNAcentral lists this ribosomal RNA (410 nucleotides) under uncultured microorganism. RNAcentral's name for it is "bacterial SSU rRNA". It matches the Rfam family "Bacterial small subunit ribosomal RNA", at positions 509 to 917 of the family's 1533-position model. The record is from RNAcentral.
CAGCCGCCGCGGUAAUACGUAGGGGGCUAGCGUUGUCCGGAAUUACUGGGCGUAAAGGGCGUGUAGGCGGUAGAGCAAGUCAGGUGUGAAACCCCCGGGCUCAACUCGGGGCAUGCAUCUGAAACUGCGAUACUUGAGUGCAGGAGAGGGAAGCGGAAUUUCUGGUGUAGCGGUGGAAUGCGUAGAUAUCAGGAAGAACACCGGUGGCGAAGGCGGCUUUCUGGCCUGCAACUGACGCUGAGGCGCGAAAGCGUGGGGAGCGAACAGGAUUAGAUACCCUGGUAGUCCACGCUGUAAACGAUGGAUACUAGGUGUAGGUGGUAUCAAAGCCAUCUGUGCCGAAGUUAACACAUUAAGUAUCCCGCCUGGGGAGUACGGCCGCAAGGUUGAAACUUAAAGGAAUUGGCGGG